GUUGUCGUGGCCAAGGGUUAAGUCGAUGGACUAGCAAUCCAUUGGGGUCUCCCUGCGCAGGAUUGAAUCCUGCCGACAACG
This is a non-coding RNA of Etheostoma spectabile (orangethroat darter), 81 nucleotides long. The record is from the annotation of a RefSeq genome assembly. Lineage: Eukaryota; Metazoa; Chordata; Actinopteri; Perciformes; Percidae.